RNAcentral lists this ribosomal RNA (253 nucleotides) under uncultured bacterium. RNAcentral describes it as "partial 16S ribosomal RNA". It matches the Rfam family "Bacterial small subunit ribosomal RNA", at positions 524 to 776 of the family's 1533-position model. The record is from RNAcentral.
UACGUAGGGUCCGAGCGUUACUCGGAAUUACUGGGCGUAAAGCGUGCGCAGGCGGUUUUGUAAGCCAGAUGUGAAAGCCCCGGGCUUAACCUGGGAAUGGCAUUUGGGACUGCAAGGCUGGAGUACGGCAGAGGGAGGUGGAAUUCCAGGUGUAGCAGUGAAAUGCGUAGAUAUCUGGAGGAACACCGAUGGCGAAGGCAGCCUCCUGGGCUAGUACUGACGCUCAUGCACGAAAGCGUGGGGAGCAAACAGG